UGGGGAAUAUUGGACAAUGGGCGCAAGCCUGAUCCAGCAAUGCCGCGUGUGUGAAGAAGGCCUGCGGGUUGUAAAGCACUUUCGGUGGGGAGGAAGGCCUGAUGGUUAAUAGCUAUCAGGAUUGACGUUACCCACAGAAGAAGCACCGGCUAACUCUGUGCCAGCAGCCGCGGUAAUACAGAGGGUGCGAGCGUUAAUCGGAAUUACUGGGCGUAAAGGGUGCGUAGGCGGUCCAUCGCGUCGGGAGUGAAAAGCUGGGGCUCAACCCCAGUCCUGCUUCCGAUACGGGUGGACUAGAGGUAUGCAGGGGAGAACGGAAUUCCUGGUGUAGCGGUGAAAUGCGCAGAUAUCAGGAGGAACACCGGUGGCGAAGGCGGUUCUCUGGGCAUUACCUGACGCUGAGGAGCGAAAGCGUGGGGAGCAAACAG
RNAcentral lists this ribosomal RNA (428 nucleotides) under uncultured bacterium. RNAcentral describes it as "bacterial SSU rRNA". It matches the Rfam family "Bacterial small subunit ribosomal RNA", at positions 355 to 775 of the family's 1533-position model. The record is from RNAcentral.